GCUAGCAGUAGAUCUAGAUGCUAGUUAACCUAAUUUGAUUAGACCACUUCUAAUCGAUUAAGGUCCAAACUAUGUCAACCCAUGUUGUCAAAUUAGAAUCCUUUCUAAUUGACUUAUGGAUUAAUCACUUUAAUUCAUAAAAAUCUAUAAGAUAAGAUUGACAUCUAACAACGUAUCAUGCCUACCCAGAAGAUGAGAAAUUUGAUAAAAAUAUCAAAUAUAUCCUUCAAUG
RNAcentral lists this long non-coding RNA (232 nucleotides) under Elaeis guineensis (African oil palm). Its description in RNAcentral is "long non-coding RNA (EGUI_LNC035868)". The record is from RNAcentral. Lineage: Eukaryota; Viridiplantae; Streptophyta; Magnoliopsida; Arecales; Arecaceae.